ACUCCAGCUCAGCCUCCCUUCAUAUGCCUCAGCUUUGAUGAUGGACUGAUUGCGGUUACUGCUCUGUGAGUGGAUCAACGUGCAGCAAAGCUGGAUGCUCAAGAGCAGAGGAUCUAUCAACUGCAGACCAAGCAGAGGCAGAGGCAGGCAGAACUGGAGCAGAAAUGCAGCCGGAUCCAGCAGCUCAGCCAGGACCCCGAGGCCAGCCACCAGCUGCAGGAGGAGGCUCAGAAGCAGUUGGGAGAGAUGUAGGAAAAGGCUUGGAUAAAGGGCCACUCACAUGGAUGCUUUAAGAAGACUGACAGUGUGUCCCAUCAGUUCCAUACACCAGGAGCUUUUAUGGAACUCUGACACACUGGAGCAAUUCUGGAAGGUAGGUGUGAGAAGGGCCAGCAGCACAGGGCAGGCUGGGGACAAUAUG
Long non-coding RNA from Dryobates pubescens (Downy woodpecker), 421 nucleotides. RefSeq lists it as uncharacterized. The transcript is spliced from 3 exons. The record is from RefSeq and is a predicted model, not a curated record. NCBI's taxonomy places the organism in Eukaryota, Metazoa, Chordata, Aves, Piciformes, Picidae.